UACGGAGGGUGCGAGCGUUAAUCGGAAUUACUGGGCGUAAAGCGCACGUAGGUGGUUUGGUCAGUCGGAUGUGAAAGCCCUGGGCUUAACCUGGGAAUUGCAUUCGAUACUGCCAAGCUAGAGUUUGGUAGAGGAAUGCGGAAUUCCGGGUGUAGCGGUGAAAUGCGUAGAUAUCCGGAGGAACAUCAGUGGCGAAGGCGGCAUUCUGGGCUAAAACUGACACUGAGGUGCGAAAGCGUGGGUAGCAAACAGG
This 253-nucleotide ribosomal RNA is filed under the name uncultured bacterium. Its description in RNAcentral is "partial 16S ribosomal RNA". It matches the Rfam family "Bacterial small subunit ribosomal RNA", at positions 524 to 776 of the family's 1533-position model. The record is from RNAcentral.